GCGACCGGGAGUACAGAUGACCGGAAGUAUAAGCACUGGGUGGGGCUGCCCUUUUCGGGUGCCGCAGCCGUCAUGUGGCCAAUACAUGCUAAGGUUUUUCCAUUCCUCGUUUAGCACAUCGUAAGCUGAUGCAGUUUCGUUUAUGUUGCUGGGCUUUGGAGGCAAACAGAGCACAAACGGGCAAGUUUGCCAUGUCCCCAGGGAGCAGCGGUUUUGCCGCUGUUGUGGCAC
RNAcentral lists this long non-coding RNA (231 nucleotides) under Volvox carteri. RNAcentral's name for it is "long non-coding RNA (VCAR_LNC001389)". The record is from RNAcentral. Lineage: Eukaryota; Viridiplantae; Chlorophyta; Chlorophyceae; Chlamydomonadales; Volvocaceae.